GACAGAGGGUGCGAACGUGUUCGGAAUUACUGGGCGUAAAGCGCGUGUAGGCGGCAAUGCAAGUCGGGCGUGAAAUCCCACGGCUCAACCGUGGAAGUGCACUCGAAACUGCAUAGCUAGAGUCCUGGAGAGGAAGGUGGAAUGCUUGGUGUAGAGGUGAAAUUCGUAGAUAUCAAGCGGAACACCGGUGGCGAAGGCGGCCUUCUGGACAGUGACUGACGCUGAGACGCGAAAGCGUGGGGAGCAACAGG
This 251-nucleotide ribosomal RNA is filed under the name uncultured bacterium. RNAcentral's name for it is "partial 16S ribosomal RNA". It matches the Rfam family "Bacterial small subunit ribosomal RNA", at positions 524 to 775 of the family's 1533-position model. The record is from RNAcentral.